This 1090-nucleotide long non-coding RNA is filed under the name Homo sapiens (human). Its description in RNAcentral is "long non-coding RNA NONHSAT164783". Lineage: Eukaryota; Metazoa; Chordata; Mammalia; Primates; Hominidae. The record is from RNAcentral.
CACAUACACCCCAGUAAUUAUAUAAAUUUAUUGUGUUUGAAUAACAAACCAAUGGGAUACUUUAGAGAGUCUUCUGAGUGCUGUAAACAUUGUUUGACUUCUUAAAGUGCUGGUUUUUUUAGCAUGCAGGUACAUAUUACAAGUAAUAAUUGAAGUCAAAUGCAGAAAAAUGUUUAAAAAUAGGAAAUACAAACUUUGAAAACUUAAUGUAGUUUAAAUCGGCACAACUGAGUCAUUAGGAUUGCUCAGACUGUAUUCCCCAAAUAGCCCCCUUCACAUGUUCUUAAAAAGAAGUUAUAUAAAAUAAUGGCCUUUGCUUUUUUAAGCCUCUAGCUGCACUUACUGUUCAAACAUAAAGGCCCUGCAUUUUUGGAAUAAGUCAUCACAAAUGAGACACGUAUAGCUUAAGGUCACACACACACUUGCCACACACUUUCAGAAUUCUAAAAUCCACUAAAGACCUAGAAGCAAUGUCUCAUCGGAUGUUUCCAACUUAAAGGGCCUGUGAGUUUCAUUCCAUUGUAAAGCAUGAGCCAUAUUACAUGGAUCACUAGUUUUGCUUUUUAGUUUAUCACAUGGCUCGUAUUUCUCUCUGCAUCUUAUGCAUCAGCCUUAGCGACUGAAAUGACCUGGGGCCCAAGAAAGCUCAAGAUGCCACUUGUGGCUUGUCCCGUGGGUCCCGUGGUUUUGUGAGUUCCCUUUAACAGACUAUCUUCCUCUUUUCAGUGAAUAUUUUGGAAAUGUUUCAUUUAGUAAAGUGAAAAUCCUUGUCAGAAUCAGCACAGAUUAAAAUCCGGGCUAAGAGGGCAUAAAGAAAUGCUUUCUGGUCAGGGAAACUGGCUAUAUAAGAGGCUGUGUUCGUGAAAAGAAGAAAUGGUAGAAAACUUCCCUCAAAUGGUAAUGGGAAAUGGGUCAAGUCCUACAGGUAUUGUUUUAAUUCACUGCUCCGUGAGAACCACAAACAGCUGGUUAAAGAUUGAGCCCACCAACACUGUUAGAAAAGCAACUAUGGUUGGAUUUUCUUUCCUGCUCAGCUGGGCUAUUAUUAUGAAAAAUAAGGAGAACCAUUAAUGCAAAGUUUAGCUACCAA